UACGGAGGGGGCGAGCGUUGUUCGGAGUUACUGGGCGUAAAGCGCACGUAGGCGGUGCGGUAAGUCAGGGGUGAAAUCCCACGGCUCAACCGUGGAAUUGCCUUUGAAACUGCUGGGCUUGGAUCCUGGAGAGGGUGGCGGAAUUCCCGGUGUAGCGGUGAAAUGCGUAGAUAUCGGGAGGAAGGCCGGUGGCGAAGGCGGCCUCCUGGGCCUGCACUGACGCUGAGGCGCGAAAGCGUGGGGAGCAAACAGG
RNAcentral lists this ribosomal RNA (253 nucleotides) under uncultured microorganism. Its description in RNAcentral is "partial 16S ribosomal RNA". It matches the Rfam family "Bacterial small subunit ribosomal RNA", at positions 524 to 776 of the family's 1533-position model. The record is from RNAcentral.